GACGAACGCUGGCGGCGUGCUUAACACAUGCAAGUCGAACGGAAAGGCCCUUCGGGGUACUCGAGUGGCGAACGGGUGAGUAACACGUGGGUGAUCUGCCCUGCACUUUGGGAUAAGCCUGGGAAACUGGGUCUAAUACCGAAUAGGACCACGCGCUUCAUGGUGUGUGGUGGAAAGCUUUUGCGGUGUGGGAUGGGCCCGCGGCCUAUCAGCUUGUUGGUGGGGUAAUGGCCUACCAAGGCGACGACGGGUAGCCGGCCUGAGAGGGUGACCGGCCACACUGGGUCUGAGAUACGGCCCAGACUCCUACGGGAGGCAGCAGUGGGGAAUAUUGCACAAUGGGCGCAAGCCUGAUGCAGCGACGCCGCGUGAGGGAUGACGGCCUUCGGGUUGUAAACCUCUUUCAAUAGGGACGAAGCGCAAGUGACGGUACCUAUAGAAGAAGCACCGGCCAACUACGUG
This 462-nucleotide ribosomal RNA is filed under the name uncultured bacterium. RNAcentral describes it as "partial 16S ribosomal RNA". It matches the Rfam family "Bacterial small subunit ribosomal RNA", at positions 28 to 507 of the family's 1533-position model. The record is from RNAcentral.